CAGUAGCCACGGUAAUACGUAGGUGGCAAGCGUUGUCCGGAAUUAUUGGGCGUAAAGGGCUCGCAGGCGGUUUCUUAAGUCUGAUGUGAAAGCCCCCGGCUCAACCGGGGAGGGUCAUUGGAAACUGGGAAACUUGAGUGCAGAAGAGGAGAGUGGAAUUCCACGUGUAGCGGUGAAAUGCGUAGAGAUGUGGAGGAACACCAGUGGCGAAGGCGACCCUCUGGUCUGUAACUGACGCUGAGGAGCGAAAGCGUGGGGAGCGAACAGGAUUAGAUACCCCAGUAGUCCCUGUCUCUUAUAA
Molecule: ribosomal RNA, 301 nt
Filed under: uncultured bacterium
Lineage: Bacteria
Description: partial 16S ribosomal RNA
Rfam family: Bacterial small subunit ribosomal RNA
Source: RNAcentral